RNAcentral lists this long non-coding RNA (2257 nucleotides) under Equus asinus (donkey). RNAcentral describes it as "lncRNA (ENSEASG00005030653.1)". The record is from RNAcentral. Lineage: Eukaryota; Metazoa; Chordata; Mammalia; Perissodactyla; Equidae.
AAAUUCCAGGAGGCAAGAUGACUGUGAGAAAUAUACAUCCAGGAUUCACACAGAUAUUCCAUGAUCUUCCAAAUCAAGGUACAGUGAUAGCUACAAGGGGGUGGAACUUUGAAAUAAUCAGCAGUUCCUGGUGGCAUGUAACCAAGUAAAAACCAGUCACAGGGAGAGCCACAAAUUCCCAAGGAAGAGAAGCAAAAUGUGAAAGAGGUGCCUCUUAUUAUGAGGGGACGGGGGUGAGGGGAAGUUAUUUGUGGUGAUCCUUAGGCAGACAGAGUGAAAAUUUACAGAUUGUACAUCCCCAAACAGUGGGGAAAAUCAGGAGCCCGGAGAGCAGGAGGUGGGAUACGGAUAAAUCUGCAAAGAGAAGUCAAAGGAUGUGUUGAAGACAAGGAGAUAAAGAGAGAACUAGUGAGCAAGGCUGUAGUCAUCCUGAAAGAUACAGCAGCCAGAAUGAUUUAGGCUUCUGGGAAGGAUCCAAUGAGAAUUCAAGAGGGCAUUGCUUCGGAAAUCCUGUUCCGAUCUUGCCGCUCUCAGUUCUUUAAGAGUUACCUGCGUUGGGAACAUUAUCAUUAGGAUUAAUAGUAUUCCAUCAGUGCAUUUCACAAGGAUUUCCCUUGAACCCUUCUCUCGCUCGCAGAAACAGAAGGAGGCGCAGUGAGGAAGCCCGACACAACCAACCCUCCCCCCUCCCAAAUAAACCACUAGGGUCACUUUAGGAUGACCAAAUCAUCAGCGAUUCACACUGAAGGGGGGAAUCGGAGGGCUGAUGAUGUGGAGGAGGCCGAGUCGCUGGGCGCUUUCGGGGCGCUGUGCCCGGAGGCUCAGGCCAGGGGACAGGGAACCUUGGUUAGAGGCGGCCGCGGAGGCUGCAGGAGCCCACACAGGUCCUGCUUUCUUGGCGAGUCCUGCUGCCCGCGACUGAAGGCAAUUGACUUCCAUCCGCAAUCUCAGCUCCAAACGCCUUGCUUUAGAAGCUGGGGGAACCGUCCCUGGGGGAGCGGGUGGCAGGCUGUGAGCCUCCCGCGACCCCUCUGAUUCCUGCACAGUGCCCGAGGGAGAGUGUGCUAGAAAUGGCUUGGCUGCCGAAUGCAUUAUCUUGCCAUUUUCGUAUCCCGAUACCGCACAAACGAUCGCCUGAUCGAUCGGAACUAGGAGGGAAAGGUAGAGUGGAAAUUGAUUUCUGGCAGAGACUGAGGCGCCGAAUGAUAGAGGGAAUAAACAUUUGCCCUGGAUAAAAAUGUUCUUGGAGAGUAGUAGCAUGCAAGGGUGAAUUUGAAGUCGGGACUUUAAGGAGGCAAUAUGAAGGUGUAAGGUCCUUCUCCCACAUUCAAAACUCAAACACAGGCUGUAUUCCAGCCCUAACGAUGUCCUAGAGCAGAAGUUUUUCUUCAGUCGUCUCAUUUUACCAAAAGGAUGAUCUCUGUGAACUUGAUGACUUAACAGCAAACUCUUGCUUCACGGCUAUUCCAUUCCUCCAGGUAGUGGACAAACCACCAUUUUUCAUCAAGAGCCAAGUUGAUUCUUCCGACUUGCUUACAUAGGGAAUGGAUAGGAGCCAAGAUGGGGAGAACUGGACAUCGAACUAGUUUCCAGAAAUAAACUAAUAAUUCAAGGACUUCUAAUAUUACAUAGUUUGAUUCAUUUAGAAUGUACUACUUAGCAAAGAGUCUUACACAUAUUAGCACCCAAUACAUGCUGAUUUGUUUAUAACAAAUACUGAUAUAGGUGUAAGGAAGUGAAUAAUGAUCAUGAAAUUUGAAGAUUAUAUGAAACAUAUAUGAUAUGAAGAAAAACUACUAAACACAAUAAGAUUAAGUGCAGAAGCCAGUGGAAAUUGGAAAAAUAUUAAAAGAAACUUGAGAUCUAAAAUGAGACCAUAAGAGACUGACUGACAGGGAGUGGGAGGAAUUUUAUUUUCAUGGAAAGAUUGAUAUGAAGCAAUUGGAGCGUUUUCUCCUUGUAUUUUGUACAAUAUUGCAAUCAAGAAAAGAAGCUGAACAUUUGCUUAAUUAGGAUGCAUCAUUAAUUUUAGUGUCUCAUGGAUCCUAAGGCCUUUCACCCCUUUAAUGAAAAUAAAAAGAAACUAAGCCACUUGAUUGCCAAUUCUCUUGGUAUCUCUAAAUCUCUCUAAUGCUCGUACUUUCUAUUCUGAAGAAAUACAUACCUUGUAGGAAGAUGAAAAAUAAUCCCUCACAUUGAUCAUGGAGUUUUGCCUCUGAGGAGAAAAUAUGAAUUUACAGACAAAAGCAAUUUUAAG